UACGAAGGGGGCGAGCGUUGUUCGGAAUUACUGGGCGUAAAGGGCGCGUAGGCGGCCGAUCAAGUCAGAUGUGAAAGUCCUGGGCUUAACCGGGGGACUGCAUUUGAUACUGAUUGGCUUGAAUGCAGGAGAGGAUAGCGGAAUUCCCAGUGUAGAGGUGAAAUUCGUAGAUAUUGGGAAGAACACCGGUGGCGAAGGCGGCUAUCUGGACUGUGAUUGACGCUGAGGCGCGAAAGCGUGGGGAGCAAACAGG
RNAcentral lists this ribosomal RNA (253 nucleotides) under uncultured bacterium. RNAcentral describes it as "partial 16S ribosomal RNA". It matches the Rfam family "Bacterial small subunit ribosomal RNA", at positions 524 to 776 of the family's 1533-position model. The record is from RNAcentral.